CUGAUGCAGCCAUGCCGCGUGUGUGAAGAAGGCCUUCGGGUUGUAAAGCACUUUCAGUUGUGAGGAAAGGUUGGUAGUUAAUACCUGCCAGCUGUGACGUUAACAACAGAAGAAGCACCGGCUAACUCCGUGCCAGCAGCCGCGGUAAUACGGAGGGUGCGAGCGUUAAUCGGAAUUACUGGGCGUAAAGCGCACGCAGGCGGCUUGUUAAGCUAGAGGUGAAAGCCCCGCGCUCAACGUGGGAACUGCCUUUAGAACUGGCAGGCUAGAGUCUUGGAGAGGGGAGUGGAAUUCCAGGUGUAGCGGUGAAAUGCGUAGAUAUCUGGAGGAACAUCAGUGGCGAAGGCGGCUCCCUGGCCAAAGACUGACGCUCAUGUGCGAAAGUGUGGGUAGCGAACAGGAUUAGAUACCCUGGUAGUCCACACCGUAAACGCUGUCUACUAGCUGUUUGUGUAUUUAAUACGUGAGUAGCGAAGCUAACGCGCUAAGUAGACCGCCUGGGGAGUACGGCCGCAAGGUUAAAACUCAAAUGAAUUGACGGGGGCCCGCACAAGCGGUGGAGCAUGUGGUUUAAUUCGAUGCAACGCGAAGAACCUUACCUACUCUUGACAUCCAGGAAAUUUUUCAGAGAUGAAUUAGUGCCUUCGGGAAUCCUGAGACAGGUGCUGCAUGGCUGUCGUCAGCUCGUGUCGUGAGAUGUUGGGUUAAGUCCCGCAACGAGCGCAACCCUUGUCCUUAGUUGCCAGCAUUAAGUUGGGCACUCUAAGGAGACUGCCGGUG
Molecule: ribosomal RNA, 780 nt
Filed under: Marisediminitalea aggregata
Lineage: Bacteria; Pseudomonadati; Pseudomonadota; Gammaproteobacteria; Alteromonadales; Alteromonadaceae
Description: bacterial SSU rRNA
Rfam family: Bacterial small subunit ribosomal RNA
Source: RNAcentral